AACGCACAUUGCGCCCGGCAGUAAUCUGCCGGGCAUGCCUGUCCGAGCGUCAUUUCACCCCUCGAGCCGCUUUUAGUGGAUCGGUGUUGGGGCACUACGGUAAAACGUAGGCCCCGAAAUGAAGUGGCGGUCCCGCCGCGGUGCCCCCAUGCGUAGUAACGUUUAGUCUCGCAUCGGGUCCCGGCGGAGGCCUGCCGUCAAUCCUAUUUAUUCUCAGAAUAGUUUGACCUCGGAUCAGGUAGGGUUACCCGCUGAACUUAA
Molecule: unclassified non-coding RNA, 261 nt
Filed under: uncultured Microascales
Lineage: Eukaryota; Fungi; Ascomycota; Sordariomycetes; Microascales
Description: sequence contains ITS2
Source: RNAcentral